Molecule: unclassified non-coding RNA, 323 nt
Filed under: soil metagenome
Description: partial contains 5.8S ribosomal RNA, internal transcribed spacer 2, and large subunit ribosomal RNA
Rfam family: 5.8S ribosomal RNA (bases 1-120)
Source: RNAcentral
GAUGAAGAACGUAGUGAAAUGCGAUAAGUAGUGUGAAUUGCAGAAUUCAGUGAAUCAUCGAAUCUUUGAACGCACAUUGCGCCCCUUGGUAUUCCAUGGGGCAUGCCUGUUCGAGCGUCAUUUGUACCUUCAAGCUUUGCUUGGUGUUGGGUGUUUGUCCCUCGGGACUCGCCUUAAAGUCAUUGGCAGCCAGUGUUUUGGUUUUGAAGCGCAGCACAAGUCGCGAUUCAAGGCUAUCCGCCCGCUUCCACAAGCCUUUUUCACUUUUGACCUCGGAUCAGGUAGGGAUACCCGCUGAACUUAAGCAUAUCAAUAAGCGGAGA